GUUUUCUGUUGCUACAAUAGAAUAUCUGUGUCGAGGUACUUUAUAAAUAAAAGAAGUUUACUUAGCUCACAGUUUUGGAGGCUGAGAAUCCAAUAUCAGGUGGGCCCAAAGAGACCCACAGUGACAAAGAGAUCACACAGUGACACAGGAAGCCAGAGAGGCUCAGGAAUGAGAUGUGCUCUUUUUUUAUAACAACUCUCACUAAUGGGAACUGACAGAGGCCCCAUGAGAACUGCAUUAAUCCCCUCUGAGCGUGGUAUCCAGGUCCCGCCCUCCCCAGGUCCCACCUCUCGAUGGCCCUACCACCUCAGCCCACCAUACUGGGAACAUGCUCAGAACAGCCAAUCCACAGAAGUAGCUCACAGGCUAAGGGUGGCUUUACAGAUUUGUAAAAGAUGGAGAAGAAGGAGAAGACUGGGAAGGAGGAGGAGCAAGGAGAGAAAAGGAGGAAGAGAAGAGUAGAUAGUGGGAGGGAGGGAGAGACGGGAAGAGCAGAGGGGAAGGAGACCGAGACCAUCUGUGGCCCUUAAAGUCUAAAAUUCUAUAGGCCUCCCCUUAUAGCAAGGGCACUCUUCCAGAACAGCUGAGAUGGUGUCCCCUUCAGAGCAGGGUCACUAUGUAUUUCCUUUACUGUUGGACACCCAAUGCCUGGGAAAAUGCCUGGCACACAGAAUCCAUCUGUCAAUAUUUGUGAAAUAAAGGAAGGAUUAAAUGAACAGAAGGUUUACAGGAAGGAUCUUGGUAACCGCUGAGUCUCAAGGCCUUGAGAGCUUCUGCUCCGGUUUCUAGAUCUGGCAGGAGGUUUUUGCCUAAAUCCAGCUGCC
This 824-nucleotide long non-coding RNA is filed under the name Marmota monax (woodchuck). The record is from RNAcentral. Lineage: Eukaryota; Metazoa; Chordata; Mammalia; Rodentia; Sciuridae.